Molecule: small RNA, 418 nt
Filed under: Pan troglodytes (chimpanzee)
Lineage: Eukaryota; Metazoa; Chordata; Mammalia; Primates; Hominidae
Description: retained intron
Source: RNAcentral
AUAAACAGGAAUAUUUGGAUGUUUUGGGAAGACCAAUGGUUUUAGCAGGAGACAAAGCUAAGCAAGUCCAAUGGACAAAUGUGUACCUGGAUGCAUUGGAACUGGGACUUGUCAUUACUGGAACUCUUCCGGUCUUCAACAUAACCGGCCAAUUUGAAAAUAAGACAAACUUAAAGAACCAGCUGAUUCUUGGUGUGAUGGGAGUAGAUGUGUCUUUGGAAGAUAUUAAAAGAUUGACACCACGUUUUACACUGUGCCCCAAUGGGUAUUACUUUGCAAUCGAUCCUAAUGGUUAUGUUUUAUUACAUCCAAAUCUUCAGCCAAAGGUCAGUAUAUAAUUUGUUUACAGUGAUUAGUGUUUUGUAGAAUUAAUGAUUAAUGUUCUUAAUAGGAUUGUUGUUUUAAAAUUUACCGUAUA